Molecule: non-coding RNA, 86 nt
Organism: Merluccius polli (Benguela hake)
Lineage: Eukaryota; Metazoa; Chordata; Actinopteri; Gadiformes; Merlucciidae
Source: the annotation of a GenBank genome assembly
GGCUGAGUAGUCCAAGUGGCUACUGGCUAGGGUGUUCGACUCCCAACUGAAAGGUUCUGGGUUCAAACCCCAAUGUCAUCAGUCUA